Cephus cinctus (wheat stem sawfly) is the source of this 1461-nucleotide long non-coding RNA. RefSeq lists it as uncharacterized. The transcript is spliced from 4 exons. The record is from RefSeq and is a predicted model, not a curated record. NCBI's taxonomy places the organism in Eukaryota, Metazoa, Arthropoda, Insecta, Hymenoptera, Cephidae.
UUUUUUUUCAUUUUCCUUAAUGACGAAACGACAUCUGCACGUGCAUUGCAAAGGAUAAAUAGAGUAGAAAACCGUCAAAGUAGGGUUAGGUUGAAACGCGUGUAUAUAAACAAAAAAACACUCAACAAUUAAUAUACAAUAUGAUCAUUGCUUAUGUUAUUGAUGAAUAACAAAUAUCAGAGGUUUUAGGAAAUUCGAUGUACUAAUCAGGUUACUGAUAAAUCGAGACCUGCUGGAUACGUGUUUGUGACGAGUUUAUUCAAAUUGUAUGCAUUCUUAUUAACUUUUAAUAUUUUACUGGGGAUCGGUAAUUAUCGAACACCCGUCAUUUGCUGGCAGCUGCGCUACUGUCCUCCAGGCCUUGUUGAUUGAUGUUACGAUUAUGACUGACGUAUACGUAUCUACACACGUAUGAUAUACGAUGUGAAUGUAUAUAUGCAUAUGUAUCUCAUAACACGACUGAUAUAGUUAGUCAAUCGCGUAAUAAACAUAAAAGCAGAUAGGGCCGUUUCUCGCGAUUUCCCGUGACGAGCAAUAACUUAAUGCGUAAGCAUUGGCCGUCAAUAAGACGCCGAUAUUGCUUUUGUCGUAAUUAUUUGAGGAUUUGAGGUUAAGGUUACUCGAGAUAUAAAUUAUCGUUGAUAAUAGUUUUAUUGUUUUUGAUUUAUUAAUCACCAGUGUCUUCGUGUUAAACAGUUGCGUUAAACCUUGAUCAUUCGAUAAGACAAGAAGCUAGAUAUGAGACUCGUACGAAAAAGGUCUUUAUAAAUUCCUGCUUAUGAUCCUGGAACGUUUCCUAGAAAAUUUUCCCGGCAGUCGUGCACAACCAAGGAAUUCGACUGGGCACGUAUAAAUAAAACCGCUCCGACGCCAAUGCACAGCGAAUAAACGACUUCCUUGGAAUUGGUAUGCAUGAGUCAGUCUUCUAUGUAUGGAUGCGUACAGAGUUCCAGUGGAGGAUAAAUGACGUCUAACAAUAAAUAGAAGUACAAAUGUAUAAAAGUUAUAUACAAAGUGAAAGCAGUCUGAUUGAGCGGUUCAGCUAAGUAUCUGCUUUGAUUGAUCUGUCAUAAAAGUGGAUUGGGUCCGAUCGAUCCCAAAUAUUUACUGAACGCCGCAUAAAGUUGUCCAGCUCUUUGUACUUCCUCGGCCCUGCAAAUAAAGGAGGUUUUUAUUGGAUUGUAAAAUAAGUAAUCAGUACGGUAAUUAAGUGAAUAACGAUUACGUACUUUAAAUCGCUUAAAUCACGUUCCUUAUGAAGAAUCAUUUCCUUGAGCUGUUUUCGUUCUUUGUCACGUUCUCGCAGAGCCUCAGCAUGACUGCUCGUCUUUCAAUAAACUGUAACGACGCUGAGGUUCAAUCAGUUCACUCUGAAGUGACGCCACUUGACGCUGUAACGUCUGAACGAUCCUUUGAGAGUCUUGAAGCUUUUCAUCCAGCGCAGCUUUUUCUUCCUUCACC